This 275-nucleotide ribosomal RNA is filed under the name uncultured bacterium. RNAcentral's name for it is "partial 16S ribosomal RNA". It matches the Rfam family "Bacterial small subunit ribosomal RNA", at positions 399 to 691 of the family's 1533-position model. The record is from RNAcentral.
GCGUGAAUGAAGAAGGCCUUAGGGUUGUAAAGUUCUUUCACCUGUGACGAUAAUGACGGUAACAGGAGAAGAAGCCCCGGCUAACUCCGUGCCAGCAGCCGCGGUAAGACGGAGGGGGCUAGCGUUGUUCGGAAUGACUGGGCGUAAAGGGCGUGUAGGCGGUUGAUCAAGUCAGACGUGAAAGCCUUGGGCUUAACCCAAGAACUGCGUUUGAGACUGGUUGACUUGAGGACGAGAGAGGAAAGUAGAAUUCCGAGUGUAGAGGUGAAAUUCGC